This 457-nucleotide ribosomal RNA is filed under the name Apoica albimacula. Its description in RNAcentral is "partial large subunit ribosomal RNA". The stretch from base 332 to 457 matches the Rfam family "Bacterial large subunit ribosomal RNA", at positions 2473 to 2599 of the family's 2925-position model. The record is from RNAcentral. Lineage: Eukaryota; Metazoa; Arthropoda; Insecta; Hymenoptera; Vespidae.
AAUUGUUCUGCCCAUUGAUUUUAAAAGGCUGCGGUAUUUUAACUGUACAAAGGUAGCAAAAUAAAUAGUUUUUUAAUUGAAAACUAGAAUGAAAGAGUUGAUAAGAUAUAAAUUGUCUCAAUAAUAUAAUUUAAAUUAAUAGUAAAAAUGCUAUUAUUUUAUUAUAAGACGAUAAGACCCUAAGAAUUUAAUAAUUUUUAUAGUAUUAAUAAAUUAAUUUUGUAUAAAUUAUUUUAUUGGGAGGAUAAUUAAAUUAAACUUUAAUAAAUAUAAACAUUUAUAAAUGAUUUUAAUGAUAAUUUUUAUAAUUAUAAGAAUAAAUUACCUUAGGGAUAACAGAGUAAUUAUUUUGGAGAGUUCAUAUUGAUAAAAUAGAUUACGACCUCGAUGUUGAAUUAAAAUAAAAAUUAAAUGGAGGGAUUUAAAAUUUUAGUCUGUUCGACUAUUAAAAUUUUAC